RNAcentral lists this ribosomal RNA (497 nucleotides) under Biroia sp. CXX-2005. RNAcentral describes it as "Megalagathis sp. CXX-2005 partial 16S ribosomal RNA". The record is from RNAcentral. Lineage: Eukaryota; Metazoa; Arthropoda; Insecta; Hymenoptera; Braconidae.
UCACCUGUUUAUCAAAAACAUGGUUUAUUGAAUUUAAUUUUAAAUCAAAUCUGCUCAAUGAAUAAUUUAAAUAGCUGCAGUAUAAAUAACUGUACAAAGGUAGCAUAAUAAAUAGUUUUUUAAUUGAAAACUGGAAUGAAAGAUUUAAUGAAAAAUAAACUGUUUCUAAAUAAUUUAUAAUUAAAAUUUUAAUUUAAGUUAAAAUACUUAAAUAUUAUUAAAAGACAAGAAGACCCUAUAGAAUUUUAUUAUUUAAUUAAUAAUAAAUGUUAUUAAAAAUUAUUAUUAAUUAAAUAAUUUAAUUGGGAUAAUUAAAAAAUUUAAUAAAUUUUUUUAUUAAAUAAACAUUUUAAAUGAAUAUUUAAAUUUAUAAUUUAAAUAAUAAAUAAAUUACCUUAGGGAUAACAGCAUAAUGUUAUUUAUUAGACCAUAUAAUAAAUAAAUUUUAUGACCUCGAUGUUGAAUUAAAAAAAAAUUUAAAGAAAAAAAAUUAUAAU